AAAAGUACGUGAAAUUGUUGAAAGGGAAGCGCUUGCAACCAGACCUGUCCGUAGGUGAUCAGCCGCUGUUCUCAGCGGUGCACUCGCUCUGCGAUCAGGCCAGCAUCGGUUCCGGCGGUCGGAUAAAGGCCUUGGGAAUGUAGCUCCUCUCGGGGAGUCUUAUAGCCCUCGGUGCAAUGCGGCCAGCCGGGACCGAGGACCGCGCUUCGGCUAGGAUGCUGGCGUAAUGGUUGUAAGCGACCCGUCUUGAAACACGGACCAAGGAGUCUAACAUCAAUGCGAGUGUUUGGGUGUUAAACCCAUGCGCGGAAUGAAAGUGAACGGAGGUGAGAACCCGUUAGGGCGCAUCAUCGACCGAUCCAGAUGUCUUCGGAUGGAUUUGAGUAUGAGCAUUGCUGUUGGGACCCGAAAGAUGGUGAACUAUGCCUGAAUAGGGUGAAGCCAGAGGAAACUCUGGUGGAGGCUCGCAGCGGUUCUGACGUGCAAAUCGAUCGUCAAAUUUGGGUAUAGGGGCGAAAGACUAAUC
RNAcentral lists this ribosomal RNA (526 nucleotides) under Usnea glabrata. RNAcentral's name for it is "eukaryotic LSU rRNA". It matches the Rfam family "Eukaryotic large subunit ribosomal RNA", at positions 391 to 936 of the family's 3401-position model. Lineage: Eukaryota; Fungi; Ascomycota; Lecanoromycetes; Lecanorales; Parmeliaceae. The record is from RNAcentral.